ACAGCCAGAAAAAUUAGAUAAGGGUGUUAUACGAUUUCUAAGGAUUUUAGGACUCUUUUUGCUACCAAAAAAAGUAAAAAAUUCAUCUAUAAAUAGAGGGUCCAGGAAUAAGUGAAAAAAGUAAAAAAAAAAUUCAGUAGAAAAGUUAGAAAAAAUAAAAAAAAAUAAAACUUUAAGGAUCCAAGAGAAAGAAGAAGAAAAGCUAGUUCGCUCUACGAAGUACGAAGGA
This 229-nucleotide long non-coding RNA is filed under the name Elaeis guineensis (African oil palm). RNAcentral describes it as "long non-coding RNA (EGUI_LNC052385)". Lineage: Eukaryota; Viridiplantae; Streptophyta; Magnoliopsida; Arecales; Arecaceae. The record is from RNAcentral.